UUAACAUUUGUUAUAAACAGAUUCAGACAGAAGACAUGGUAAUGCAAGAGUUUAAUGUAUACCUCCCGUGGGGACUCCCCUCAGGUGGCCAAAGCCAUCUUCAGAGGUGACGAAUCACUGCUCCACGGAAGCAACAGGAAAUGUACUCGGAAUGGGUUUGUAUAUGUAUAUUCGCAAGGAAUACGCAUUUACUUUUAAUGAUCCUUCCGCAGGUUCACCUACGGAAA
RNAcentral lists this unclassified non-coding RNA (227 nucleotides) under uncultured fungus. RNAcentral describes it as "sequence contains ITS1". The record is from RNAcentral. Lineage: Eukaryota; Fungi.